UCUGGCUCGGCUGGACCCUCCUUAGAGUUUGAUCUGGGUUCAGGGUGGAGCGGUGACUAACCGUGGGUAAUCUGCCUGUAAGACGGGGAUAACUCCGGGAAACCGGGGCUAAUACCGGAUAAUAAGAAGAAACGCAUGUUUCUUUUUUGAAAGUCGGUUUCGGCUGACACUUACAGAUGAGCCCGCGGCGCAUUAGCUAGUUGGUGAGGUAACGGCUCACCAAGGCGACGAUGCGUAGCCGACCUGAGAGGGUGAUCGGCCACACUGGGACUGAGACACGGCCCAGACUCCUACGGGAGGCAGCAGUAGGGAAUCUUCGGCAAUGGGCGAAAGCCUGACCGAGCAACGCCGCGUGAGCGAUGAAGGCCUUCGGGUCGUAAAGCUCUGUUGUUAGAGAAGAACAAGUACGAGAGUAACUGCUCGUACCUUGACGGUACCUAACCAGAAAGCCACGGCUAACUACGUGCCAGCAGCCGCGGUAAUACGUAGGUGGCAAGCGUUAUCCGGAAUUAUUGGGCGUAAAGCGCGCGCAGGCGGUCUCUUAAGUCUGAUGUGAAAGCCCACGGCUCAACCGUGGAGGGUCAUUGGAAACUGGGAGACUUGAGUGCAGGAGAGAAAAGUGGAAUUCCACGUGUAGCGGUGAAAUGCGUAGAGAUGUGGAGGAACACCAGUGGCGAAGGCGGCUUUUUGGCCUGUAACUGACGCUGAGGCGCGAAAGCGUGGGGAGCAAACAGGAUUAGAUACCCUGGUAGUCCACGCCGUAAACGAUGAGUGCUAGGUGUUGGGGGGUUCCACCCUCAGUGCUGAAGUUAACACAUUAAGCACUCCGCCUGGGGAGUACGACCGCAAGGUUGAAACUCAAAGGAAUUGACGGGGGCCCGCACAAGCAGUGGAGCAUGUGGUUUAAUUCGAAGCAACGCGAAAACCUUACCAGGUCUUGACAUCCUCUGAUCACUCUAGAGAUAGAGCUUUCCCCUUCGGGGACAGAGUGACAGUGGUGCAUGG
This 1005-nucleotide ribosomal RNA is filed under the name Bacillus sp. (in: firmicutes). RNAcentral's name for it is "bacterial SSU rRNA". It matches the Rfam family "Bacterial small subunit ribosomal RNA", at positions 65 to 1048 of the family's 1533-position model. The record is from RNAcentral. Lineage: Bacteria; Bacillati; Bacillota; Bacilli; Caryophanales; Bacillaceae.